RNAcentral lists this ribosomal RNA (296 nucleotides) under uncultured bacterium. Its description in RNAcentral is "partial 16S ribosomal RNA". It matches the Rfam family "Bacterial small subunit ribosomal RNA", at positions 28 to 334 of the family's 1533-position model. The record is from RNAcentral.
GAUGAACGCUGACAGAAUGCUUAACACAUGCAAGUCGACUCGAGUCUUCGGACUUGGGUGGCGCACGGGUGAGUAACGCGUAAGGAACCUGCCUCUCACAGGGGGAUAGCAGCUGGAAACGGCUAUUAAUACCCCAUGGUACCGGAGCAUCGCAUGAUGAAUCGGUGAAAGAGCUUUCGGUGGGAGAUGGCCUUGCGUCUGAUUAGCUGGUUGGUGAGGUAACGGCCCACCAAGGCGACGAUCAGUAGCCGGCCUGAGAGGGUGAUCGGCCACAUUGGGACUGAGACACGGCCCAA